AACGACCCCGAGACGGUCGCUCGUCGAACUUCGGCUUGGCGAGAGGAAAGUCCGGACACCACAAGGCAGCAUGCCCGGUGAAAAGCCGGGGACGCCCCGUGUAAUGCGGGGUGGACGGAAAGUGCCACAGAAAACAAACCGCCUGGCUCCGGCCCGGUAAGGGUGAAAUGGCGAGGUAAGAGCUCACCGCUCCGUCCGGCAACGGCGGAGGCAAGGCAAACCCCAUGCGGUGCAAGACAGAGCAGGGGAAACGGGCCGCCUGUCCGGUUUCGCUUCGGCGAUCUGUCCCCGGGUAUUAGUCGCACCUCGCUUCGGCGGGGAUCGGACGGGAGACCGGCCGAUAGAUAAAUGGUCGUCGCCCCGCUCCGGCGGGGAACAGAAUCCGGCUUAUGACGGGUCGUUCCAU
Molecule: RNase P RNA, 406 nt
Filed under: Verrucomicrobiota bacterium
Lineage: Bacteria; Pseudomonadati; Verrucomicrobiota
Description: Verrucomicrobia bacterium (mine drainage metagenome) RNase P RNA component class A
Rfam family: Bacterial RNase P class A
About the family: Ribonuclease P (RNase P) is a ubiquitous endoribonuclease, found in archaea, bacteria and eukarya as well as chloroplasts and mitochondria. Its best characterised activity is the generation of mature 5'-ends of tRNAs by cleaving the 5'-leader elements of precursor-tRNAs.
Source: RNAcentral